CAGUCACACACUCAGUCAUACACACACAGGCAGUCACACAAACAGGCAGACAGUCACACACACACACACACACACACACACAUACCUCUUUCCAGUGGAUGCAGUUGGUUGUUGGGGUAGCAGGGACUCCUUCCCUCUUCAUGUGCAGCAAUUACCAGGGGCUUCGGGAAGGUAUUAGCCCCGCCCCCAACGAUCGUUAAGCCCUGCUGCCUCGAUUUUUUUGUUUUCAAUAGACC
Pelobates cultripes (western spadefoot toad) is the source of this 236-nucleotide non-coding RNA. Lineage: Eukaryota; Metazoa; Chordata; Amphibia; Anura; Pelobatidae. The record is from the annotation of a GenBank genome assembly.